UGUGUAGGUGGUCAUAUUAGUCGUCCGUUAAGACCCAGGGCCUAACCUUGGAAGUGCGGGCGAAACGGUAUGACUCGAGGGCGUGAGAGGUGCAUAGAACUCUAGGUGUAGGGGUGAAAUCCGUAGAUAUUGGGAAGAACACCGGUGGCGAAGGCGGCUCUCUGGACCGAUACUGACGCUGAGGCGCGAAAGCGUGGGGAGGCAAAACA
Molecule: ribosomal RNA, 209 nt
Filed under: uncultured bacterium
Lineage: Bacteria
Description: partial 16S ribosomal RNA
Rfam family: Bacterial small subunit ribosomal RNA
Source: RNAcentral